Molecule: ribosomal RNA, 374 nt
Filed under: uncultured bacterium
Lineage: Bacteria
Description: bacterial SSU rRNA
Rfam family: Bacterial small subunit ribosomal RNA
Source: RNAcentral
GACGGAGGAGGCUAGCGUUGUUCGGAAUUACUGGGCGUAAAGCGUGCGCAGGUUGUGAGUUAAGUCUGAUGUGAAAGCCCGGGGCUCAACCUCGGAUGUGCAUUAGAUACUGGCUCGCUGGAGGUUGGAAGAGGAGAGUGGAAUUCCCAGUGUAGAGGUGAAAUUCGUAGAUAUUGGGAAGAACACCAGUGGCGAAGGCGGCUCUCUGGUCCACACCUGACACUCAUGCACGAAAGCGUGGGGAGCAAACAGGAUUAGAUACCCUGGUAGUCCACGCCGUAAACGAUGUGUGCUAGACGUCGGGAGGCUUGCCUCUCGGUGUCGCAGCUAACGCGAUAAGCACACCGCCUGGGGAGUACGGCCGCAAGGUUAAA